GCAAUGUCAUGAUUUUAAGGUUGUGUAUUUAAACUCUCAUCAUUAUGAUUUU
This 52-nucleotide small RNA is filed under the name Arabidopsis thaliana (thale cress). RNAcentral's name for it is "ATSL193290". The record is from RNAcentral. Lineage: Eukaryota; Viridiplantae; Streptophyta; Magnoliopsida; Brassicales; Brassicaceae.